RNAcentral lists this ribosomal RNA (438 nucleotides) under uncultured bacterium. Its description in RNAcentral is "partial 16S ribosomal RNA". It matches the Rfam family "Bacterial small subunit ribosomal RNA", at positions 339 to 795 of the family's 1533-position model. The record is from RNAcentral.
CUACGGGUCGCACCAGUGAGGAAUAUUGCACAAUGGGGAAACCCUGAUGCAGCAACGCCGCGUGGAGGAUGACGCAUUUCGGUGUGUAAACUCCUUUUAUCAGAGAAGAAAAUGACGGUAUCUGAUGAAUAAGCUCCGGCUAACUCCGUGCCAGCAGCCGCGGUAAUACGGAGGGAGCAAGCGUUAUUCGGAAUCACUGGGCGUAAAGGACGCGUAGGCGGGUUUUUAAGUCAGGUGUGAAAUCCUAUGGCUCAACCAUAGAACUGCACUUGAAACUGGGGACCUAGAGUAUGGAAGGGGCAGGUGGAAUUAGGGGUGUAGGGGUAAAAUCCGUAGAUAUCACUAGGAAUACCGAAAGCGAAGGCGACCUGCUGGGACAUUACUGACGCUGAGGCGUGAAAGCGUGGGGAGCAAACAGGAUUAGAUACCCCGGUAGUC